UACGGAGGGUGCAAGCGUUAUCCGGAUUCACUGGGUUUAAAGGGUGCGUAGGCGGGUUGGUAAGUCAGUGGUGAAAUCUUCAAGCUUAACUUGGAAACUGCCGUUGAUACUAUCAAUCUUGAAUGUUGUGGAGGUAAGCGGAAUAUGUCAUGUAGCGGUGAAAUGCUUAGAUAUGACAUAGAACACCGAUAGCGAAGGCAGCUUGCUUCACAAUAAUUGACGCUGAGGCACGAAAGCGUGGGGAUCAAACAGG
RNAcentral lists this ribosomal RNA (253 nucleotides) under uncultured bacterium. RNAcentral's name for it is "partial 16S ribosomal RNA". It matches the Rfam family "Bacterial small subunit ribosomal RNA", at positions 524 to 776 of the family's 1533-position model. The record is from RNAcentral.